AAUCUCAGAGGGCAGCGGUCGGUUCGGUCACGCGAGUGUUGGUGCAAAAAAGGUGAAAAAAGGAAAACUUUAGAAAAAUGCAAUAAAUAUUGCACAAAAUAUUAGAAACAUUUUCGCCGACGGCAUUUCUCGUUAAACAAAAGAAAAGUUGCUUGCCCUCUGUACGUUUUAAGCUGUGACGCCCUUAGCUGCUGUAUGCUUUAAGCUGUGACGCCUGGCCAGUACACGGAAUAAAUUAUUUGCGCAAUUAAAUCAAUAAUGCGAAUGCUUUUUUGCAUAUAAGUGAUUAAUAAUCCUAUAAUAAUGUUUUCAAAUCAGCAGCAGAUCAAAAAGGAGGGAAUGCAGAGAUGGAGCGCAAAAAGUGAACGGAGCCGCAGAUAGCCUGAAAUGUGUGUGCAAAAAGGAAAGCGGAAAGAGGAAGCAGUAUGAAAAGCAGUGGUGAAGUGAAGUGAAGUGCAGUGCAAGUGCAAGUGAAGUGCAGUGCAAGUGAAGUGAUGGAAGAGCAGUAGGAACUGGACAAAGCAAGGCUGGAAAAUGAGUAACGAAUUCCAAGAAAUGAAAAAUAUAAACAAUUUCUACGUUUUUUUUUCGCGUUUUAUAUAAUGUUACACAAAAUAUUGCAUAAAAUCAAAUUUCGCACAAUUUUUUUCGAGUGUUAUGCAUAUGAAAGCGAUAUGGCCAUCAUGGAAGCAAAGCGAAGGAAAAGGAAGCAGCAUAAAAUGAGAGAGGAAGCAAGGGUGGGAGAAGUGAAGUGCAAGUGAAGUGCAGUGCAAGUGAAGUGCAGUACAAGUGCAAUUGAAGAGAUGGUAAAACAGUAGGAACUAGAAAAAGCAAUACUGGAAUAUCAGUAAAUGAAUAUUAUAAACAUUUUUACCUUUUUGUCGAGUGUUAUACAGUGUUAUAUAAAAUCAAAUUUCACCAAAUUUUUUUCGAGUGUAUAUGAAAGCGAAAUAUGUGAGAAGGAAGAAAAGCGUCGCAAAAGAAAGCAGUAUACAAGUGAAAGAAUGAGAAGCAAAGCCGAAAAAAGUGGAAAAAGUGUAGUGAAGGGAAAGAAGGAGGAUCAGUAGAGCAAAAAGGAGCAAGGCUGCAUAUUUCCCAAAACGAAAGCGAAAGCGAAAAAUGUGUAAUACAUUGUUAUACAACGAAGACAAUUUUGUUGCCACACAUCGCAAAAAGUGAAGCGAAACUGGAUGAAGAAAAAGCUUUUCCUGGCACACGUAUGUUGUAGGUUAAAUCCAUAAAUAUUUGUGAUUUUUAUGGAUUAAACCCAACACAAUAUGCAAAGGAAUCCGAGGGCGAAGAAGGAGGUUUGGCAGAACCCGAACGCAACGGCCAAGAAUGCAACCCUGGACCGAUCGUGGUGGAAUAUUAUCAUCGAAGAGACGGCCGAUUGGCUCUAUUGGUACAAAAAAAAAAACGGUACAGGUCGCAAAACCCCGGGUUUUAUAGACAAAAUGAAUCGAAAGACCAGGCUGCAAAUGAAAGCAAAAGAAACGAAGGACGGCUAGUGGAAAUCAAUGGAAACAUGAUGAAAGUUUUUCGAUCGAAGCUGGGAGCACAACUGUACCUGGAACACUCCCGUAGACACAGGCAAGUGUCAAAUGUCAGGCAUCAACAAAAUGAUUGUGGAGCCCUCGACGGACUCCUCCCUGGACUCCGCAGAGCCCGGCUGUUGUUGGUGCCAAAAUCGAAAAUAUUGCUGCUUUGUGAUUAUAUUUUUACUCUGUUUCAUAGCAUUAAUAUGCGUGGCCGUGUAUUUCGGACAGAAGCGUUAGCCACAGGACACUUAUUAAACAUUUAAAGGGUAUGGGGUACCCCCCCCCCUCGCCCCCGCAUCACCAAAAGAUUGUAGAUACAUC
Drosophila miranda is the source of this 1859-nucleotide long non-coding RNA. RefSeq lists it as uncharacterized. The record is from RefSeq and is a predicted model, not a curated record. The transcript is spliced from 6 exons. NCBI's taxonomy places the organism in Eukaryota, Metazoa, Arthropoda, Insecta, Diptera, Drosophilidae.